This 404-nucleotide ribosomal RNA is filed under the name uncultured bacterium. RNAcentral's name for it is "partial 16S ribosomal RNA". It matches the Rfam family "Bacterial small subunit ribosomal RNA", at positions 30 to 526 of the family's 1533-position model. The record is from RNAcentral.
AUUGAACGCUGGCGGCAGGCCUAACACAUGCAAGUCGAGCGAGCGGCGGACGGGUGAGUACUGUCUGGGAAACUGCCUGAUGGAGGGCUAUAACUACUGGAAACGGUAGCUAAUACCGCAUACCAUCCGAUGUGCCCAGAUGUGAUUAGCUCUGAGGUGGGGUAAUGGCUCACCUAGGCGACGAUCCCUCGCUGGUCUGAGAGGAUGACCAGCAAGACUGGAACUGAGACACGGUCCCGACUCCUACGGGAGGCAGCAGUGGGGAAUCGUGGACAAUGGGCGAAAGCCGGAUCCAGCCAUGCCGCGUGUGUGAAGAAGGUCUUCGGAUUGUAAAGCACUUUAAGUUGGGAGGGGUACCAACAGAAAAGCACCGGCUAACUUCGUGCCAGCAGCCGCGGUAAUAC